RNAcentral lists this ribosomal RNA (497 nucleotides) under uncultured bacterium. Its description in RNAcentral is "partial 16S ribosomal RNA". It matches the Rfam family "Bacterial small subunit ribosomal RNA", at positions 28 to 507 of the family's 1533-position model. The record is from RNAcentral.
GAUGAACGCUGGCGGCGUGCCUAAUACAUGCAAGUCGAGCGAACGGACGAGAAGCUUGCUUCUCUGAUGUUAGCGGCGGACGGGUGAGUAACACGUGGAUAACCUACCUAUAAGACUGGGAUAACUUCGGGAAACCGGAGCUAAUACCGGAUGAUAUUUUGAACCGCAUGGUUCAAAAGUGAAAGACGGUCUUGCUGUCACUUAUAGAUGGAUCCGCGCUGCAUUAGCUAGUUGGUAAGGUAACGGCUUACCAAGGCAACGAUGCAUAGCCGACCUGAGAGGGUGAUCGGCCACACGGGAACUGAGACACGGUCCAGACUCCUACGGGAGGCAGCAGUAGGGAAUCUUCCGCAAUGGGCGAAAGCCUGACGGAGCAACGCCGCGUGAGUGAUGAAGGUCUUCGGAUCGUAAAACUCUGUUAUUAGGGAAGAACAGAUGUGUAAGUAACUGUGCACAUCUUGACGGUACCUAAUCAGAAAGCCACGGCUAACUACGUG